UGGGGAAUUUUGGACAAUGGGCGCAAGCCUGAUCCAGCCAUUCCGCGUGAGUGAAGAAGGCCUUCGGGUUGUAAAGCUCUUUCGCAAGGGAAGAAAACUUACCUUCUAAUAAAGGGUGAGGCUGACGGUACCUUGAUAAGAAGCACCGGCUAACUACGUGCCAGCAGCCGCGGUAAUACGUAGGGUGCGAGCGUUAAUCGGAAUUACUGGGCGUAAAGCGUGCGCAGGCGGUUUGGCAAGUCAGAUGUGAAAUCCCCGAGCUCAACUUGGGAACUGCGUUUGAAACUGCCAGACUAGAAUAUGUCAGAGGGGGGUAGAAUUCCACGUGUAGCAGUGAAAUGCGUAGAGAUGUGGAGGAAUACCAAUGGCGAAGGCAGCCCCCUGGGAUAAUAUUGACGCUCAUGCACGAAAGCGUGGGGAGCAAACAGGAUUAGAUACCCUGGUAGUCCACGCCCUAAACGAUGUCUACUAGUUGUUGGUGGAGUAAAAUCCAUGAGUAACGCAGCUAACGCGUGAAGUAGACCGCCUGGGGAGUACGGUCGCAAGAUUA
Molecule: ribosomal RNA, 550 nt
Filed under: uncultured bacterium
Lineage: Bacteria
Description: bacterial SSU rRNA
Rfam family: Bacterial small subunit ribosomal RNA
Source: RNAcentral